RNAcentral lists this transfer RNA (65 nucleotides) under Philagra albinotata. RNAcentral's name for it is "tRNA-Asp". Lineage: Eukaryota; Metazoa; Arthropoda; Insecta; Hemiptera; Aphrophoridae. The record is from RNAcentral.
UAAAAAUUAGUUUAUAAAAAACAUUAAUUUGUCAAAUUAAAGAAUUUAUUAUUUAGAAUUUUUAU